UACGUAGGUGGCAAGCGUUGUCCGGAUUUACUGGGCGUAAAGCGUGCGUAGGCGGCUUUUUAAGUCGGAUGUGAAAUCCCCGAGCUUAACUUGGGAAUUGCAUUCGAUACUGGGAAGCUAGAGUAUGGGAGAGGAUGGUAGAAUUCCAGGUGUAGCGGUGAAAUGCGUAGAGAUCUGGAGGAAUACCGAUGGCGAAGGCAGCCAUCUGGCCUAAUACUGACGCUGAGGUACGAAAGCAUGGGGAGCAAACAGGAUUAGAUACCCUGGUAGUCCAUGCCGUAAACGAUGUCUACUAGCCGUUGGGGUCUUUGAGACUUUAGUGGCGCAGCUAACGCGAUAAGUAGACCGCCUGGGGAGUACGGUCGCAAGACUAAA
RNAcentral lists this ribosomal RNA (375 nucleotides) under uncultured bacterium. RNAcentral's name for it is "bacterial SSU rRNA". It matches the Rfam family "Bacterial small subunit ribosomal RNA", at positions 524 to 898 of the family's 1533-position model. The record is from RNAcentral.